GAAGGUGACCUGUGAGGGUUGCUGGAGGUAUCAGAAGUGCGAAUGCUGACAUAAGUAACGAUAAAGCGGGUGAAAAGCCCGCUCGCCGGAAGACCAAGGGUUCCUGUCCAACGUUAAUCGGGGCAGGGUGAGUCGACCCCUAAGGCGAGGCCGAAAGGCGUAGUCGAUGGGAAACGGGUUAAUAUUCCCGUACUUGGUGUUACUGCGAAGGGGGGACGGAGAAGGCUAUGUUGGCCGGGCGACGGUUGUCCCGGUUUAAGCGUGUAGGUGUGUGUUCCAGGUAAAUCCGGUUCACUUUAACACUGAGGCGUGAUGACGAGGCACUACGGUGCUGAAGCAACAAAUGCCCUGCUUCCAGGAAAAGCCUCUAAGCAUCAGGUAACAUCAAAUCGUACCCCAAACCGACACAGGUGGUCAGGUAGAGAAUACCAAGGCGCUUGAGAGAACUCGGGUGAAGGAACUAGGCAAAAUGGUGCCGUAACUUCGGGAGAAGGCACGCUGACACGUAGGUGAAGUGAUUUACUCACGGAGCUGAAGUCAGUCGAAGAUACCAGCUGGCUGCAACUGUUUAUUAAAAACACAGCACUGUGCAAACACGAAAGUGGACGUAUACGGUGUGACGCCUGCCCGGUGCCGGAAGGUUAAUUGAUGGGGUCAGCGCAAGCGAAGCUCCUGAUCGAAGCCCCGGUAAACGGCGGCCGUAACUAUAACGGUCCUAAGGUAGCGAAAUUCCUUGUCGGGUAAGUUCCGACCUGCACGAAUGGCGUAAUGAUGGCCAGGCUGUCUCCACCCGAGACUCAGUGAAAUUGAACUCGCUGUGAAGAUGCAGUGUACCCGCGGCAAGACGGAAAGACCCCGUGAACCUUUACUAUAGCUUGACACUGAACAUUGAGCCUUGAUGUGUAGGAUAGGUGGGAGGCUUUGAAGUGUGGACGCCAGUCUGCAUGGAGCCGACCUUGAAAUACCACCCUUUAAUGUUUGAUGUUCUAACGUGGACCCGUAAUCCGGGUUGCGGACAGUGUCUGGUGGGUAGUUUGACUGGGGCGGUCUCCUCCUAAAGAGUAACGGAGGAGCACGAAGGUUGGCUAAUCCUGGUCGGACAUCAGGAGGUUAGUGCAAUGGCAUAAGCCAGCUUGACUGCGAGCGUGACGGCGCGAGCAGGUGCGAAAGCAGGUCAUAGUGAUCCGGUGGUUCUGAAUGGAAGGGCCAUCGCUCAACGGAUAAAAGGUACUCCGGGGAUAACAGGCUGAUACCGCCCAAGAGUUCAUAUCGACGGCGGUGUUUGGCACCUCGAUGUCGGCUCAUCACAUCCUGGGGCUGAAGUAGGUCCCAAGGGUAUGGCUGUUCGCCAUUUAAAGUGGUACGCGAGCUGGGUUUAGAACGUCGUGAGACAGUUCGGUCCCUAUCUGCCGUGGGCGCUGGAGAACUGAGGGGGGCUGCUCCUAGUACGAGAGGACCGGAGUGGACGCAUCACUGGUGUUCGGGUUGUCAUGCCAAUGGCACUGCCCGGUAGCUAAAUGCGGAAGAGAUAAGUGCUGAAAGCAUCUAAGCACGAAACUUGCCCCGA
Molecule: ribosomal RNA, 1567 nt
Filed under: Salmonella enterica
Lineage: Bacteria; Pseudomonadati; Pseudomonadota; Gammaproteobacteria; Enterobacterales; Enterobacteriaceae
Also listed under: 1 other name
Description: partial 23S ribosomal RNA
Rfam family: Bacterial large subunit ribosomal RNA
Source: RNAcentral